GUUAAGCGACUAAGCGUACACGGUGGAUGCCCUGGCAGUCAGAGGCGAUGAAGGACGUGCUAAUCUGCGAUAAGCGUCGGUAAGGUGAUAUGAACCGUUAUAACCGGCGAUUUCCGAAUGGGGAAACCCAGUGUGUUUCGACACACUAUCAUUAACUGAAUCCAUAGGUUAAUGAGGCGAACCGGGGGAACUGAAACAUCUAAGUACCCCGAGGAAAAGAAAUCAACCGAGAUUCCCCCAGUAGCGGCGAGCGAACGGGGAGCAGCCCAGAGCCUGAAUCAGUGUGUGUGUUAGUGGAAGCGUCUGGAAAGGCGCGCGAUACAGGGUGACAGCCCCGUACACAAAAAUGCACAUGCUGUGAGCUCGAUGAGUAGGGCGGGACACGUGGUAUCCUGUCUGAAUAUGGGGGGACCAUCCUCCAAGGCUAAAUACUCCUGACUGACCGAUAGUGAACCAGUACCGUGAGGGAAAGGCGAAAAGAACCCCGGCGAGGGGAGUGAAAAAGAACCUGAAACCGUGUACGUACAAGCAGUGGGAGCACGCUUAGGCGUGUGACUGCGUACCUUUUGUAUAAUGGGUCAGCGACUUAUAUUCUGUAGCAAGGUUAACCGAAUAGGGGAGCCGAAGGGAAACCGAGUCUUAACUGGGCGUUAAGUUGCAGGGUAUAGACCCGAAACCCGGUGAUCUAGCCAUGGGCAGGUUGAAGGUUGGGUAACACUAACUGGAGGACCGAACCGACUAAUGUUGAAAAAUUAGCGGAUGACUUGUGGCUGGGGGUGAAAGGCCAAUCAAACCGGGAGAUAGCUGGUUCUCCCCGAAAGCUAUUUAGGUAGCGCCUCGUGAAUUCAUCUCCGGGGGUAGAGCACUGUUUCGGCAAGGGGGUCAUCCCGACUUACCAACCCGAUGCAAACUGCGAAUACCGGAGAAUGUUAUCACGGGAGACACACGGCGGGUGCUAACGUCCGUCGUGAAGAGGGAAACAACCCAGACCGCCAGCUAAGGUCCCAAAGUCAUGGUUAAGUGGGAAACGAUGUGGGAAGGCCCAGACAGCCAGGAUGUUGGCUUAGAAGCAGCCAUCAUUUAAAGAAAGCGUAAUAGCUCACUGGUCGAGUCGGCCUGCGCGGAAGAUGUAACGGGGCUAAACCAUGCACCGAAGCUGCGGCAGCGACGCUGAUGCGUUGUUGGGUAGGGGAGCGUUCUGUAAGCCUGCGAAGGUGUGCUGUGAGGCAUGCUGGAGGUAUCAGAAGUGCGAAUGCUGACAUAAGUAACGAUAAAGCGGGUGAAAAGCCCGCUCGCCGGAAGACCAAGGGUUCCUGUCCAACGUUAAUCGGGGCAGGGUGAGUCGACCCCUAAGGCGAGGCCGAAAGGCGUAGUCGAUGGGAAACAGGUUAAUAUUCCUGUACUUGGUGUUACUGCGAAGGGGGGACGGAGAAGGCUAUGUUGGCCGGGCGACGGUUGUCCCGGUUUAAGCGUGUAGGCUGGUUUUCCAGGCAAAUCCGGAAAAUCAAGGCUGAGGCGUGAUGACGAGGCACUACGGUGCUGAAGCAACAAAUGCCCUGCUUCCAGGAAAAGCCUCUAAGCAUCAGGUAACAUCAAAUCGUACCCCAAACCGACACAGGUGGUCAGGUAGAGAAUACCAAGGCGCUUGAGAGAACUCGGGUGAAGGAACUAGGCAAAAUGGUGCCGUAACUUCGGGAGAAGGCACGCUGAUAUGUAGGUGAAGUCCCUUGCGGAUGGAGCUGAAAUCAGUCGAAGAUACCAGCUGGCUGCAACUGUUUAUUAAAAACACAGCACUGUGCAAACACGAAAGUGGACGUAUACGGUGUGACGCCUGCCCGGUGCCGGAAGGUUAAUUGAUGGGGUCAGCGCAAGCGAAGCUCUUGAUCGAAGCCCCGGUAAACGGCGGCCGUAACUAUAACGGUCCUAAGGUAGCGAAAUUCCUUGUCGGGUAAGUUCCGACCUGCACGAAUGGCGUAAUGAUGGCCAGGCUGUCUCCACCCGAGACUCAGUGAAAUUGAACUCGCUGUGAAGAUGCAGUGUACCCGCGGCAAGACGGAAAGACCCCGUGAACCUUUACUAUAGCUUGACACUGAACAUUGAGCCUUGAUG
This 2109-nucleotide ribosomal RNA is filed under the name Escherichia coli. Its description in RNAcentral is "partial 23S ribosomal RNA". It matches the Rfam family "Bacterial large subunit ribosomal RNA", at positions 1 to 2136 of the family's 2925-position model. Lineage: Bacteria; Pseudomonadati; Pseudomonadota; Gammaproteobacteria; Enterobacterales; Enterobacteriaceae. The record is from RNAcentral.